GCGAGUCCUCAACUGACGCUAAUGCUCGAAAGUGCGGGUAUCGAACAGGAUUAGAUACCCUGGUAGUCCGCACGGUAAACGAUGGAUGCCCGCUGUUGGCGAUACAAUGUCAGCGGCCAAGCGAAAGCGUUAAGCAUCCCACCUGGGGAGUACGCCGGCAACGGUGAAACUCAAAGGAAUUGACGGGGGCCCGCACAAGCGGAGGAACAUGUGGUUUAAUUCGAUGAUACGCGAGGAACCUUACCCGGGCUUGAACUGCAGCAGAACGAUAGAGAGAUCUUGAGGCCCUUCGGGGCUGCUGUGGAGGUGCUGCAUGGUUGUCGUCAGCUCGUGCCGUGAGGUGUCGGCUUAAGUGCCAUAACGAGCGCAACCCCUUUCAUCAGUUGCCAUCAGGUGAUGCUGGGCACUCUGGUGAUACUGCCACCGUAAGGUGUGAGGAAGGUGGGGAUGACGUCAAAUCAGCACGGCCCUUACGUCCGGGGCUACACACGUGUUACAAUGGGUGGUACAGAGAGUCAACCGCCGGCAACGUCGGUUUAAUCAAUAAAGCCAUCCUCAGUUCGGAUUGGGGUCUGCAACCCGACCCCAUGAAGCUGGAUUC
RNAcentral lists this ribosomal RNA (601 nucleotides) under uncultured bacterium. Its description in RNAcentral is "bacterial SSU rRNA". It matches the Rfam family "Bacterial small subunit ribosomal RNA", at positions 728 to 1333 of the family's 1533-position model. The record is from RNAcentral.